GGGUGGACGGCUUUCUUCCACAUGCUCCAAAAUACGGAAGCUGCAAGAUAAUCGCAAGAAGAUGUCCCACAAAUCUGUGGUUGAAAUGGGCUCAAUUAUUAUAUUUCAUUGACUUGGAACUCCGUAUGAUACACGAUGUAUAUUUAUUUUUUUAAAUAAUAUUUUUAUAAAUUAAAAAUUUAAUAUAAUAUAAAAAAUAUAAUAGAUGAUAUCAAAUAGCUUAGAGAUUAUAAUCCC
RNAcentral lists this long non-coding RNA (237 nucleotides) under Elaeis guineensis (African oil palm). Its description in RNAcentral is "long non-coding RNA (EGUI_LNC003575)". The record is from RNAcentral. Lineage: Eukaryota; Viridiplantae; Streptophyta; Magnoliopsida; Arecales; Arecaceae.